UAUUGGCCAGAGACCGAUAGCGCACAAGUAGAGUGAUCGAAAGAUGAAAAGCACUUUGGAAAGAGAGUUAAACAGUACGUGAAAUUGUUGAAAGGGAAGCGCUUGCAACCAGACUUGCGGGCGGUCGAUCAUCCGAGGUUCUCCCCGGUGCACUCGAUCGUUCUCAGGCCAGCAUCGGUUUCCGGGGUGGGAUAAAGGCGGUGGGAAUGUGGCUCUUCGGAGUGUUAUAGCCCACCGUGCAAUGCCGCCACUGGGGACCGAGGACCGCGCUUCGGCUAGGAUGCUGGCAGUAAUGGUUGUAAGCGACCCGUCUUGAAACACGGACCCAAGGAGUCUAACAUCUAUGCGAGUGUUUGGGUGUCAACCCAUACGCGUAAUGAAAGUGAACGGAGGUAAGAGCCCUUUAGGGUGCAUUAUCGACCGAUCCUGAUGUCUUCGGAUGGAUUUGAGUAAGAGCAUAGCUGUUGGGACCCGAAAGAUGGUGAACUAUGCGUGAAUAGGGUGAAGCCAGAGGAAACUCUGGUGGAGGCUCGCAGCGGUUCUGACGUGCAAAUCGAUCGUCAAAUUUGCGUAUAGGGGCGAAAGACUAAUC
This 592-nucleotide ribosomal RNA is filed under the name Phialocephala fortinii. RNAcentral's name for it is "eukaryotic LSU rRNA". It matches the Rfam family "Eukaryotic large subunit ribosomal RNA", at positions 321 to 936 of the family's 3401-position model. Lineage: Eukaryota; Fungi; Ascomycota; Leotiomycetes; Helotiales; Mollisiaceae. The record is from RNAcentral.